RNAcentral lists this ribosomal RNA (253 nucleotides) under uncultured bacterium. RNAcentral describes it as "partial 16S ribosomal RNA". It matches the Rfam family "Bacterial small subunit ribosomal RNA", at positions 524 to 776 of the family's 1533-position model. The record is from RNAcentral.
UACAGAGGAUGCAAGCGUUAUCCGGAAUGAUUGGGCGUAAAGCGUCUGUAGGUGGCUUUUUAAGUCCGCCGUCAAAUCCCAGGGCUCAACUCUGGACAGGCGGUGGAAACUACCAAGCUGGAGUACGGUAGGGGCAGAGGGAAUUUCCGGUGGAGCGGUGAAAUGCGUAGAGAUCGGAAAGAACACCAACGGCGAAGGCAGCUCUCUGGGACGGUACUGACGCUGAGACGCGAAAGCGUGGGGAGCGAACAGG